GAUGAACGCUGGCGGCGUGCCUAAUACAUGCAAGUCGAGCGAACAGAUAAGGAGCUUGCUCCUUUGACGUUAGCGGCGGACGGGUGAGUAACACGUGGGUAACCUACCUAUAAGACUGGAAUAACUCCGGGAAACCGGGGCUAAUGCCGGAUAACAUUUAGAACCGCAUGGUUCUAAAGUGAAAGAUGGUUUUGCUAUCACUUAUAGAUGGACCCGCGCCGUAUUAGCUAGUUGGUAAGGUAACGGCUUACCAAGGCAACGAUACGUAGCCGACCUGAGAGGGUGAUCGGCCACACUGGAAAUGAGACACGGUCCAGACUCCUACGGGAGGCAGCAGUAGGGAAUCUUCCGCAAUGGGCGAAAGCCUGACGGAGCAACGCCGCGUGAGUGAUGAAGGUCUUCGGAUCGUAAAACUCUGUCAUUAGGGAAGAACAAAUGUGUAAGUAACUGUGCACGUCUUGACGGUACCUAAUCAGAAAGCCACGGCUAACUACGUG
This 497-nucleotide ribosomal RNA is filed under the name uncultured bacterium. Its description in RNAcentral is "partial 16S ribosomal RNA". It matches the Rfam family "Bacterial small subunit ribosomal RNA", at positions 28 to 507 of the family's 1533-position model. The record is from RNAcentral.